Molecule: small RNA, 116 nt
Filed under: Rhizobium etli bv. mimosae str. IE4771
Lineage: Bacteria; Pseudomonadati; Pseudomonadota; Alphaproteobacteria; Hyphomicrobiales; Rhizobiaceae
Description: miscellaneous other RNA
Source: RNAcentral
AAAAUAAGUAUGAUUAUUUCUAUCGAAGCGAUGCAUCUCCUCCCGCAUCCUUCGAUAUGCAGGCGCCCGUCCUCCUCCCAAGGUCGCCUGCGGGAACGACAGCACUCCUCCUCCCA